GAUGAACGCUGGCGGCGUGCUUAACACAUGCAAGUCGAACGGAAAGGCUCCUGCUUGCAGGGGUACUCGAGUGGCGAACGGGUGAGUAACACGUGGGUGAUCUGCCCUGCACUUCGGGAUAAGCCUGGGAAACUGGGUCUAAUACCGGAUAGGACGAUGGUUUGGAUGCCAUUGUGGGAAGUUUUUUCGGUGUGGGAUGAGCUCGCGGCCUAUCAGCUUGUUGGUGGGGUAAUGGCCUACCAAGGCGUCGACGGGUAGCCGGCCUGAGAGGGUGUACGGCCACAUUGGGACUGAGAUACGGCCCAGACUCCUACGGGAGGCAGAAGUGGGGAAUAUUGCACAAUGGGCGCAAGCCUGAUGCAGCGACGCCGCGUGGGGGAUGACGGCCUUCGGGUUGUAAACUCCUUUCGCUAGGGACGAAGCGCAAGUGACGGUACCUGGAGAAGAAGCACCGGCUAACUACGUG
This 466-nucleotide ribosomal RNA is filed under the name uncultured bacterium. Its description in RNAcentral is "partial 16S ribosomal RNA". It matches the Rfam family "Bacterial small subunit ribosomal RNA", at positions 28 to 507 of the family's 1533-position model. The record is from RNAcentral.